CCUGCCUCCGCCUCCCCACCUACUGCAGUUAGGACUCGGCCUUCCACGGCGCUGGACGUGAUUUGCUGGAGGAAGAGGCAACGCAGCUGCUGGAAAGGGAAAUCACGCCUCGCUGAUCUACUAGAAUUCUUUCAGGGGCAUCAACAAAAAUGUGGACAGUGCAUCUGGCAUACUUGGACUUUCCGAAAGCCUUUGACAGGGUCCCUCACUGAAGGCUCUUAAGCAAAGCAAGCAGUCACAGGAUAAGAGGGAAGGUCGUCUCACGGAUCAGAAACUGGCUAAAAGAUUGGGAAUAACGGGUAGGAAUAAACAGUCAGUUUUCAGAACGGAGAGCGAUAAACUGCAGGGUCCCUCAAAGAUCUGUACUGGGACCGUGCUGGCUGGAGUAUGGAAGAGCUUGUGUACGAGGAGAGAUUAAAAAGACGGAACUGUUCAGCUUGGAAAAGAGGAUUACGGAGAAGGAGAUGAUGCAGGUCUAUCAAAUCAUGAAUGAAAGACAGAAAUCACAUGCCCAGUUGCGGGGCCGAGUAGCCACAGUUUUUGACCACGAAGACGACACCCAGGGCGGAGAGAGCCGCAACAACAGCCAAUGCCACCAGCAAAAUCAAUGCCAGCACCAUCUCAGGCAGAUCUUCACCACCUGCAAGAGGAAGAAGGGGGAAUAGAGCCAGACACAGUGGAGUCUUGGAUCCACAGACCCUCAUUACAGCCCAUGGCUGUGCCAAGUGGUGUUUCAGGCUCAGAAGGAGCAAUUAAGCCCCUUUAAGGUGUGAGAGCAUGAAAGAACUUGGGGAAGAUGACUGCCCAAGGCAGCCUGCUGCUUGGAGAUUGCCUCCAACAGGCUCAGCAUGUAAUCAGAGAACGCCAGAAGGAAUUUAAUACCUAGCUCUUUUCAUCUAUAGAUCUCCAGGUGCUUUAGAGAAGGUCAAUAUCAUCUCCAUUUUACAGAUGGGAAAAUGGAAGCACGUUAAAGGGACUUGGAAGAUCUGGGUGACCUUGCCCGUGUCCCCGUUCAGUGCUCUGUUCACUAGCCUACGCUGCCUUUUGGGCACUCUAGGCCAGAAAGCCAGAGCACCGGUUGCUCUUUCUGCGUUCAGGGAAGCAGGACUUUGUAGAUGGUAUAAACAAGGGUACACCUGACUCAUGUCACCCCAUCUCCUCAUAGAGGCAGCUCGGAAAGGCCCAAAAUAUCUGCUAGCCACUGGGGCCAGCAGCAGAUUCACAGCCGAAGGCCCAAAGGAGCCACUAUGACCUCAGAGUGAGCUGUAGCUCACGAAAGCUUAUGCUCUAAUAAAUUUGUUAGUCUCUAA
Dermochelys coriacea (leatherback sea turtle) is the source of this 1310-nucleotide long non-coding RNA. RefSeq lists it as uncharacterized. The record is from RefSeq and is a predicted model, not a curated record. Lineage: Eukaryota; Metazoa; Chordata; Testudines; Dermochelyidae. The transcript is spliced from 2 exons.